GUGCCAGCCGCCGCGGUAAUACGGAGGGGGCGAGCGUUGUCCGAAGUUACUGGGCGUAAAGCGCGUGUAGGCGGGUUGUCAAGUCCGCUGUGAAAGCCCGAGGCUCAACCUCGGAGGGUCGGUGGAUACUGACAGUCUUGAAGGUGCUAGGGGGAGAUGGAAUUACCGGUGUAGCGGUGAAAUGCGUAGAGAUCGGUAGGAACACCAGUGGCGAAGGCGGUCUCCUGGGGCAUUCUUGACGCUGAGACGCGAAAGCUGGGGGAGCGAACGGGAUUAGAUACCCUCGUAGUCC
Molecule: ribosomal RNA, 292 nt
Filed under: uncultured bacterium
Lineage: Bacteria
Description: partial 16S ribosomal RNA
Rfam family: Bacterial small subunit ribosomal RNA
Source: RNAcentral